Molecule: ribosomal RNA, 242 nt
Filed under: uncultured bacterium
Lineage: Bacteria
Description: partial 16S ribosomal RNA
Rfam family: Bacterial small subunit ribosomal RNA
Source: RNAcentral
UUGGCGAACGGGUGAGUAACGCGUGAGUAACCUGCCCUAGAGUGGGGGGACAACAGUUGGAAACGACUGCUAAUACCGCAUAAGCCCACGGUACCGCAUGGUACUGAGGGAAAAGGAUUUAUUCGCUUUAGGAUGGACUCGCGUCCAAUUAGCUAGUUGGUGAGGUAACGGCCCACCAAGGCGACGAUUGGUAGCCGGACUGAGAGGUUGAACGGCCACAUUGGGACUGAGACACGGCCCAG